UACGUAGGGUGCAAGCGUUGUCCGGAAUUAUUGGGCGUAAAGAGCUCGUAGGCGGUCUGUCGCGUCGGCUGUGAAAACCCGGGGCUCAACCCCGGGCCUGCAGUCGAUACGGGCAGACUAGAGUGCGGUAGGGGAGACUGGAAUUCCUGGUGUAGCGGUGAAAUGCGCAGAUAUCAGGAGGAACACCGGUGGCGAAGGCGGGUCUCUGGGCCGUAACUGACGCUGAGACGCGAAAGCGUGGGGAGCAAACAGG
RNAcentral lists this ribosomal RNA (253 nucleotides) under uncultured bacterium. Its description in RNAcentral is "partial 16S ribosomal RNA". It matches the Rfam family "Bacterial small subunit ribosomal RNA", at positions 524 to 776 of the family's 1533-position model. The record is from RNAcentral.